This 216-nucleotide long non-coding RNA is filed under the name Olea europaea (common olive). Its description in RNAcentral is "long non-coding RNA (OEUR_LNC009513)". The record is from RNAcentral. Lineage: Eukaryota; Viridiplantae; Streptophyta; Magnoliopsida; Lamiales; Oleaceae.
UCAUUCUCCAAAGGUGAAGGAGGUGGCCAUAAGCACUUCGACAGUCAAGGCAGUAACUUGUAUAGAUAUAUUUAGGUAUGGGAUGAAUGAAAGACAUGAGUCACAAUAGUGUUUUGGUAUCGGGGGGGUAAUAAGAGAAAAUAAAUGUGAGAGCAAUAUUAUUGUGAAUGUACAAAAUUGCAUUACCUUCAAGUGACACGGAUAUGUGUAAUUUGU